AUUGAACGCUGGCGGCAGGCCUAACACAUGCCAGUCGAGCGGAUGAAGGGAGCUUGCUCCUGGAUUCAGCGGCGGACGGGUGAGUAAUGCCUAGGAAUCUGCCUGGUAGUGGGGGAUAACGUCCGGAAACGGGCGCUAAUACCGCAUACGUCCUGAGGGAGAAAGUGGGGGAUCUUCGGACCUCACGCUAUCAGAUGAGCCUAGGUCGGAUUAGCUAGUUGGUGGGGUAAAGGCCUACCAAGGCGACGAUCCGUAACUGGUCUGAGAGGAUGAUCAGUCACACUGGAACUGAGACACGGUCCAGACUCCGACGGGAGGCAGCAGUGGGGAAUAUUGGACAAUGGGCGAAAGCCUGAUCCAGCCAUGCCGCGUGUGUGAAGAAGGUCUUCGGAUUGUAAAGCACUUUAAGUUGGGAGGAAGGGCAGUAAGUUAAUACCUUGCUGUUUUGACGUUACCAACAGAAUAAGCACCGGCUAACUUCGUG
Molecule: ribosomal RNA, 484 nt
Filed under: uncultured bacterium
Lineage: Bacteria
Description: partial 16S ribosomal RNA
Rfam family: Bacterial small subunit ribosomal RNA
Source: RNAcentral